AGAGUUUGAUCAUGGCUCAGAGUGAACGCUGGUGGCGUGCCUAACACAUGCAAGUCGAACGAUGAUUGGAGAGCUUGCUCUUCAUGAUUAGUGGCGCACGGGUGAGUAACGCAUAGGUAAUGUGCCCCUUAGUUCGGGAUAGCCACUGGAAACGGUGAUUAAUACCGGAUACUCCUUCUCGUUAUAGGACGAGUCGGGAAAGUUUUUCGCUAAGGGAUCAGCCUAUGUCCUAUCAGUUAGUUGGUGAGGUAAUGGCUCACCAAGACUAUGACGGGUAUCUGGUUUGAGAGGAUGAUCAGACACACUGGAACUGAGACACGGUCCAGACUCCUACGGGAGGCAGCAGUGAGGAAUAUUGCACAAUGGAGGAAACUCUGAUGCAGCAACGCCGCGUGGAGGAUGACGCAUUUCGGUGUGUAAACUCCUUUUAAGAGGGAAGAUAAUGACGGUACCUCUUGAAUAAGCACCGGCUAACUCCGUGCCAGCAGCCGCGGUAAUACGGAGGGUGCAAGUGUUACUCGGAAUCACUGGGCGUAAAGGGUGCGUAGGCUGGCUUUUAAGUCAGAUGUGAAAUCCAAUGGCUUAACCAUUGAACUGCAUUUGAAACUGGGAGCCUAGAGUUCAGAAGGGGCAGAUGGAAUUAGUGGUGUAGGGGUAAAAUCCGUAGAUAUCACUAGGAAUAUCAAAAGCGAAGGCGAUCUGCUGGGAUGAUACUGACGCUGAGGCACGAAAGCGUGGGGAGCAAACAGGAUUAGAUACCCUGGUAGUCCACGCCCUAAACGAUGAAUGCUAGUCGUCGGGGAGCUCGUCUCUUCGGUGAUGCACUUAACAGAUUAAGCAUUCCGCCUGGGGAGUACGGUCGCAAGAUUAAAACUCAAAGGAAUAGACGGGGACCCGCACAAGUGGUGGAGCAUGUGGUUUAAUUCGAAGAUACACGAAGAACCUUACCUGGCCUUGACAUGGUAGGAACCCUUAAGAGAUUAGGGGGUGCUAGCUUGCUAGAACCUACACACAGGUGCUGCACGGCUGUCGUCAGCUCGUGUCGUGAGAUGUUGGGUUAAGUCCCGCAACGAGCGCAACCCU
RNAcentral lists this ribosomal RNA (1083 nucleotides) under uncultured bacterium. Its description in RNAcentral is "bacterial SSU rRNA". It matches the Rfam family "Bacterial small subunit ribosomal RNA", at positions 8 to 1105 of the family's 1533-position model. The record is from RNAcentral.